Molecule: long non-coding RNA, 240 nt
Organism: Symsagittifera roscoffensis
Lineage: Eukaryota; Metazoa; Xenacoelomorpha; Acoela; Convolutidae
Exons: 2
Source: RefSeq, a predicted model, not a curated record
GAUAGAGAUGGAGAAGCACUGUUGUGCGUGGAAGCAGCACGCCGCCGAAAUGGAGUUUCACCGGGAGAGAAUAGAAUGUCUCACGGCUGAGAUGAACGGAUUCGCACACCAGGUUCAACACGAGGUGGCGGAGUUGAACAAACUGGCUUUACAUGACUGCUGUGGCUCCAUCGUGUGAACAAAGUUCACUGUCAUUUAUACUACUACUAGUCCAAUAAAAAUUAUUCACUCCUUUUUAAA